RNAcentral lists this unclassified non-coding RNA (3924 nucleotides) under Hevea brasiliensis (rubber tree). The record is from RNAcentral. Lineage: Eukaryota; Viridiplantae; Streptophyta; Magnoliopsida; Malpighiales; Euphorbiaceae.
CGGGCUGAAAAACCGAACUGCCAAACAAGUGCAUUCAAAAGAAAAAUUAAGAAAAAAAAGGCAGACGUGAGAAAUCCAAGUUUUAUGAAAUCAAUGAGAUGCCCAAGUCAGACUUUCUGCCAAAUCGGUUAACAGUAGGACAUGGAUUCCUAAGAUAAUCUCUCCUCCGUCCCUCUUUGUCUCUCUCUCUUUUUGUCUGUGUGAUAAGAUGCUGAAGCUAUGGAAAUGGUACCAGCACUGCCUAUCUGUUCAUCCAGUGAAGACCCAAAUCAUUAGCUCAGGGAUUCUCUGGGGCAUUGGUGAUAUUGGUGCUCAAUACAUCACUCACUCAACCGCACUCAGCAGUCUCAACAAUUCUGUAAGUUCACUAUCCUUCAGUUACCUUUAAUACAUUGUUCUCUGUGUUGGGCAUCCUCGAUUUUCUUGAUUUAUUUGAAACUCGUGUUUUUAUAUUUUGCCCCGUCCUUUUCCAUGGGCUUCUUGCAACCCACGUAUUUUGAUUAUAUUCCUAUGAGAGUUUGGACCAAUUUUAUUGCUUUUUAAUUUUCCUUCUUCAUUUAGAUGUGCUUGCUCUAUAUAUAAAGUGCUACUGUUUGGAUAUUAUUAUUGAACUUUUAGUUAGCUUGCUCUUUCAAUUGCCUGGAAAGUUUCCUUCUUUAUUGGGAAUCUUAUGCUGAUUCCUUGUUCUUCAGAUGCUGUUGGUUUUUGGUGUAUUUGGGCACCAAUGCUUUCCAUUGAGUAGUUUUAUCACUUGUGAAUUGAACGUCAUUGCCUAUUUCUGUAAUGAUGCUUUCCAUUGACUGAUUCCUACUGCACCUAAUGAUGCUUCAUAUUUCUAUAAUGGCCGCACUCUACAUAUCCAUAAUUUGGAAAUAAGACAAACACAGGACAGGGGCACCAUCAUCAUCACUGAUGCUAUGGGAGCUGAUGGUGUGAAGAAGAGAUGAUGUUUUUCUAAUUACCAGAUUUAGCAAUAGUGACUCCCUUUUCCUCAGCAUCAUUGAUGAUUGUAAUUUGAGAUUGUGGCGAUUAUGUUAAUGGGGGCAACCCAAUUCAAUACAUGUAACUGUGCAUCGGUUUUUCAAUGAAAAUUGAAAAAAGAAAAACAGCAACAUUUUUAUUAUGGUCCUUUUUGUUGUCCCCUUGUUGGUUUUUCUUGUUUCCUGCAAUCAGGACCAACACAACAUGUUGAGUGUGCAUCUCUAUUACCAUUACUGGAAUUCAUGGUUUUAUGGUCACAAUGAACUCAGUGAAGUUCAUAUGCAUUUUUGCAUAGUUUACUUGAUAGUUAAGGGCACAUCUCUAUUGUCUGCAGGAAAUAGAUUUGAGUUUCAAUAUCAUUUUCAAGAUAUAUCUUGACUUGAAACUAACUCCAAGAGAGUGCAUCUUCUUGUGGCCUAAUUCUUUGGAUGAAAUCAAUCUAGUAAAUUUGGAAUGGCGUCAAGAGAAAUAAUUAGAGUGUAGAUCUGCCGUAGCAAUGGCAGUUUUUGUUGCAAGCUUAUUGCCUUUGAUUCUACCCUGCUUUCUAUACUUAAUGAUGUCAUUGGCCUUUCACUCCUAAUAAAUAGCAAUGAAGUUGACACUAAACACAGUUCUUAUAUAAUAACUCCUUGAUUAUGGAUCAAAAACUGAAGAUAUGUCUGAUCUUCAUGGCAGACCUUGAGUCUGAAUUCUAAAAUGUUGGAAAGGGAUCCAUGUAAAAUUUGAUGUCAGUUGAUUCUUGGAUGGAAAAAUGCAUUGCUUCUGCUUAAUAUUAAUAAGAACAGGAAAAUAAGGUAAUCUAACCUUAAAUGCCCUAUGAAUUUUUAUAAAACUGGAUAUAUCUUGUAGGAAAGGGAUUUUUGAGAAUAGAUUGACUAUUCUUGGUCCUAUUCCAUUUAGCAUCCCCUUUCUGUGCUUGUGGCCGCAAUUAUUCAAGGAAUAGUUCCCUGUUCAUUUCAAUUGCUAACUUCUUCUGAUCUAUUAUCUUCUGGUUUGGCAACAUAAGUCAGCUGUCAAUCACGCCAUUAUGGAAGAGGAAAAAAAAAAGGAUGUGUCAGAGAUCUAGUAACAGGAUCAAUUUUACUCAAAAUCCAGAUCAAAACCUUUGCAUCAUGAUCAACACAUAAUGAUCAAUCUCAUCAUAAGAUUGCAUAUCAAUAUUUAGAAUUUCAGUGGAUUAAAUUAAAAUGUUGGUGUAGGGGGACGCUAAUUAAUAUUUGGUUCACUUCAUUUUAUAUUAGUUUUUUUUCCUUUUAUUUAACACCGACUUUUUCUUUAAAUUGAUGCUGUCAUAGAACCCACUCUUUGGCUUGUCAUGCUUUGAACAUAACUAAAUUUUUUUUUUUUGUGUAUUGACCAGUUCCUCUGAACUAGCAAUUUUAUUAUCUGUUUGUCAUGAAGCAGGAUGUAGAAGCAGAAUUCAAAGUCAAUUGGAAACGUGUAGCUAUCACUAGUCUGUUUGGCUUUGGCUUUGUUGGUCCAGUUGGCCACUUUUGGUUUGUGUUUUCCCUUUUUUUAAAGGUCAUUUCAUCUGAUUUUGUUUGCUACUGCAUAUGCAGCUACUAAAGGCGGUAUUCUUUUGGGGAAAAUAUGGUUUGACAUUAUUGAAUCAAAUCAAUUUAUUGCUUGGAAAUGGUAUUUUGAGUUCUGGCUAUGAAGCCGUUGUCACCUUAUUGCGAGGAGAGAGUACCCAUUUCUGAUUCUAGAUAUAACAGAUCAGAAAUGGAAACUUGAAUGUAUAUGAAUUUCACCAGUAGUGAUUUCAAACAUCUAAAUUUGUGAGAAGCAUUUCAUUUUUCGCCAUUUCUUUUCCAUGCAAUGUUAGAGGUGGAAAUAUUUCCUCAUUUUGUUGACAUGAAACCAUGCAUAUGGUAUGCCAUAAAUUGCCUUGCAUUAAUAUAUAGACUGCAUUUAUUUAAUAUUGGAUGUGUGCAGUUUGGUAUGGCCUUAUAUUAUACAUGAAGUUCAAGAUUUAGAUUGAGUACUCCUAGAGGGCCGGUGAUUAAAAUGUAUCAAGGAACUGAAACUAAGAAGGACAAAGAGUUUAGUAUGCAGAGUAAAAUACUGACAUCAGAAUUGAGAUGCUAGUGUUUGAAUCGCGAAGAAUUCAUGCACAAGCAAGUACUAGAGGAUCAAGGCUUUUGUCUUAGCAUAUGAACUUUUUCUCUCACAGGUAUGAAGGCUUGGAUAGGCUUAUAAGGAUGAGGCUUCAACUGCAACCAAAGUCUGUGCGAUUUGUUGCUACCAAAGUGGCAGCUGAUGGCAUAAUCUUUGGCCCCUUUGAUUUGUUUGUGUUCUUCACUUACAUGGGGUUUUCCACUGGCAAGAGUGUGCCUCAAGUGAAGGAAGAUUUGAAGAGGGAUUUCCUUCCUGCCUUGAUUUUGGAGGGUGGUGUAUGGCCAAUAGUUCAGAUUGCAAAUUUCCGGUAUGUGCCAGUGAGGUACCAACUCCUCUAUGUCAAUAUGUUCUGCUUGUUAGACAGUGCUUUCUUGUCAUGGAUCGAGCAACAAAAAGAUGCCCCUUGGAAGCAGUGGUUCACGUCAUUUCGGCCUUUGAAGGAACGAGAAGGUCAGGGCAGAUUAUGAAUACCUUCUCAACCUGUUGUAUCUUCUUUCCCUUCUGAGUUUAUAUUGACAAGUUCACAACAAAUAUUUGUGACACCAACACCGAAAGAAUUACAAACAACUGAAGUGCCAACAGCAGUUUUAGAAAUUUGGAUUUGGGAAUGAAUUAAUUGCUUUCUAAUUGUGAAGUGUUGGACUUAAUUUAGCCCCACAAGUCCUUAAUGAAAUGGAAAACACGGUCAUGCCCUUUAUUUGUUGGGGGCAUUUUGUUACAUCUUUGAAACUAUCCUAAGCAUUAUGCGAUAGGUUUACAAUAUUUUUGUGUUGAAUUUUGAAUAAAUGAAGUAUAAUUAACCAUAUUUCUGAAAUGCAAAAUCUU